Molecule: ribosomal RNA, 542 nt
Filed under: uncultured Bacteroidota bacterium
Lineage: Bacteria; Pseudomonadati; Bacteroidota
Description: bacterial SSU rRNA
Rfam family: Bacterial small subunit ribosomal RNA
Source: RNAcentral
UAGAGAAUAUUGGUCAAUGGGUGAGAGCCUGAACCAGCCAUGCAGCGUGCAGGAAGACGGCCUUCUGGGUUGUAAACUGCUUUUACCAGGGGAUAAAAAAGCCUUGCGAGGCAAAUUGAAGGUACCUGGAGAAUAAGCACCGGCUAACUACGUGCCAGCAGCCGCGGUAAUACGUAGGGUGCAAGCGUUGUCCGGAUUUAUUGGGUUUAAAGGGUGCGUAGGCGGGCUAUUAAGUCAGUGGUGAAAUCCAACAGCUCAACUGUUGAUGUGCCAUUGAUACUGGUAGCCUUGAGUACAGAUGAGGUAGGCGGAAUUGACAGUGUAGCGGUGAAAUGCAUAGAUAUUGUCAAGAACUCCGAUAGCGAAGGCAGCUUACUGGACUGUAACUGACGCUGAUGCACGAAAGUGUGGGGAUCAAACAGGAUUAGAUACCCUGGUAGUCCACACUGUAAACGUUGAUGACUCGCUGUUGGCGAUAUACAGUACGCGGGCUUAGAGCAAUCGUUAAGUCAUCCACCUGGGGAGUACGCCGGCAACGGUGA